GCAACCGGAGUACGUCUCACGCCUUGCAGCUUAAAAAAAGAACAGUAAACACGAAUGCAGUAUGCACCUGGCAGUGAGACGCCCACCACACGACUGACAGGCCCCAGUGUAGUCGUGGCAACGAGACUACGCACAGGGGCAAUCAAUCGACGGAGCGCGCCUGAGCCCAGCCGACGUCUUGUUUGUUCUCGAAAGCAGAGACUGGUGGUGACUGUGAUGAAUUACGAUCAACUGUCUGGAAGGCAAUGAUUUACUCUGGAAACAAAAUGAAGUCAGAAGACGUAGAUCAGAGGGGCUGGUGUCUCUACAGCCGUGUCUCCCAACCUGGUCCUUGAGGACCCACAGACAGUCCAUGUUUUUGCUCCCUCCCAGCUCCCUGUCACCCAGUCCAUGUUUUUGCUCCCUCCCAGCUCCCUGUCACCCA
Paramormyrops kingsleyae is the source of this 424-nucleotide long non-coding RNA. RefSeq lists it as uncharacterized. The record is from RefSeq and is a predicted model, not a curated record. Lineage: Eukaryota; Metazoa; Chordata; Actinopteri; Osteoglossiformes; Mormyridae.